Molecule: ribosomal RNA, 329 nt
Filed under: uncultured eukaryote
Lineage: Eukaryota
Description: partial 18S ribosomal RNA
Rfam family: Eukaryotic small subunit ribosomal RNA
Source: RNAcentral
CCCUUAGAUGUUCUGGGCCGCACGCGCGCUACACUGACGAUGGCAACGAGUUUUUCCUUCGCCGAAAGGUGUGGGUAAUCUUUUGAAACAUCGUCGUGCUGGGGAUAGAUCAUUGCAAUUUUUGAUCUUGAACGAGGAAUUCCUAGUAAGCGCGAGUCAUCAGCUCGCGUUGAUUACGUCCCUGCCCUUUGUACACACCACCCGUCGCUACUACCGAUUGAAUGGUUUAGUGAGGACUCCUGAUUGGCGCCGCCGCCCCGGCAACGGAGCAGCGGACUGCCGAAAAGUUGUUCAAACUUGAUCAUUUAGAGGAAGUAAAAGGCGUAACA